GGAGAGAAGGGAAGCUGCUGCGGGCUCGUCAGCAUAGAUACCCAUCACUGAUCAUCAUCACGUGGCUGUUUGAGGAUGUCAGAAAGGUCCUCGGGCGGCAGCAGCAGAGUUUGGAACCAGGCCCCAUCUGACAGCAGCUCAGGGCCGAACACGACACGGCAAACAAACCGCUGCUGUCAGUCUCAAUACUAAAUAAUGUUGGAAAUUUCUGCCGUGCGUUCCACAGGCAUCUGGCACGGUGCAGUAGCUCCAGAGAAGUGUUCAAUGAGGUCAGCAGAGCACUGAUGCUUUCGCUCUCACCAGAGUGCAGUGUGUUUCUGUGUCAUUCAGUUCACUUGACAACAUGAUUACGUCUGAGAGGAUUGUAACACCAGGCCAUGUGUGUGCAAAUCUCAAGCUGGACCCUAAAUGCACCAAGGCAUGUAAAUGUGUAUAUGAAUGCCCUGUGUCAGCCCCAAUUUUCAAAAGCCGAGUAAGUAAUGUAAUUAAAAGUUUCUCUGGAAGCCAGAAAGUCAUUAUAAGUGUCAGAGCUCCCUCUGUUGGAAAAGUGAAGGAACUCUUUCACUCUGUGUCAGAGGCUGGAGAGUAGUUAGUUAAACUCUAAACACACAAUACUUGGUUCUAACUGUUGAUUUCUUCAAGUUGCAUCUUUAACUAGUUAAACAUAACUGUGUGAUCACCAUCCAUAUUAAAAGUUGUUUAUCCUCCUUUAUCAAUUGUUAUUUUUAUUUAUCCAGACUUAUCAGCUUAUUAUUCAGCAUAUCAACAUAUUUAUUGAGUCGGGCUGAAGUUCAAGUAAAUGUUAAUCUUGGCUUGUUUUUUCUUGUUGUGUUUUGCAAAUCUCACAAAGUGCGAUGGGACUCAAACUGUGGAGUUUCAGAGGCUGAACAAACUAUGAAAUUCAUAAAAACAACAUUGAAUAGAAAAGC
This is a long non-coding RNA of Seriola dumerili (greater amberjack), 929 nucleotides long. RefSeq lists it as uncharacterized. The record is from RefSeq and is a predicted model, not a curated record. The transcript has 3 exons. Lineage: Eukaryota; Metazoa; Chordata; Actinopteri; Carangiformes; Carangidae.